AGGUCGCUAACAGGAGGCUAGACAACCAGGUGAAGACCUACAUCACCUACAACAAGGGCCGUGAUUGGAGGUUACUGCAGGCCCCGGCGACAGACCUGGCUGGCAACGACACCCACUAUAUACAGCCCUUCUGUUCGCAACUGCAGACGUCUGAAAACCCCUAACAGGCAGGCACCAUAUUAAACAAGGCCUCAACACUGGGAAUCAUAGUGGCCACAGGGAACAUUGAGUCGGAGCUGUCAAACGAUAAUGUUGGAAUGUUCAUCUCAUCUGAUGCUGGUAACAACUGGAGACAGGAUCAUUUUUGAUGAUGGGCUGCAGUGGACCAGCUUCUCUUUGGUGCCUCUGUUCGUGGACGGGAUGCUGGCGGAGGCCGGGACAGAGAACCAGAUCAUGAUGUUUUUCAAACACUUCAGCCAUAGGUCCAAGUGGCAGGUUAUCAAGAUAGACUACAAGGCCAUCCUCAACAGGAAAUGUACAGAAGGAGACUAUUAGACGUGGCACCUUCACAACAAGUUAAGACCUCUUAAACAGGAAGUCAGUCCAAUUCAUCAAUACGUAUCCUGAUUACCUAAUACCAAAGUAUUUACAUGGUAGUUAGCGACUAAACUUUAUUCAUAAUGAGCGAUACCUGGAGAAAAGCGGACCUCUCUGAAAUGAAAAUGGAUGGCCCUCCUUUCAGAUUUUUUUUUUUUUACUGUGCCUCCCUGAAUGCUAGAACAAAAGUCAGCCUUCCCAAUACACAAAAUAAUAAUUCAAACAUAAAGUCGAUUUAACCUAAUUUCUCAGACAGAACAGAGCAGUUUUAGAAACUGUUCUUCGUUUUGUAAGCUUUACAUGACAAAGUAGCCAGAAGGUUGUGGGUUCACAGGCCAUCGUGGACAAGAGUAGGGGUGAAAAGAUAUCCAUUAUGAUCAAAUAACUGCAUGAAUCUCUACAGGCUAUUGUUAAAAAAAGAGGAUAGUCUCAGUUUGGAACAGAGCUAAAGUUGGCGACCAGCACUAGGAAGAGUCUUGGUGGUUCCAAACUUCUUCCAUUUAAGAAUGAUGGAGGCCACUGUGUUUUUGGCGAUCUUCAAUGCUGCAGAAUUUUUUUGCUACCCUUCCCCAUGAAAUGUGUCUCAACAAAAUCCUGUCUCGGAGAUCUACGGACAAUUCCUUUGACCUCAAGGCUUGGUUUUCCUCUGACAUGCUCUAUCAACUGUGGGACCUUAUAUAGACAGGUGUGAGCCUUUCCAAAUCAUCUCCAAUCAAUUGAAUUUACCACAGAUGGACUCCAAUCAAGUUGGUGAAGCAUCCCAAGGAUGAUCAAUGGAAACAGGAUGCACCUGAGCUCGAUUUUGAGUCUCCUGGCAAA
This is a long non-coding RNA of Salvelinus fontinalis (brook trout), 1356 nucleotides long. RefSeq lists it as uncharacterized. The transcript has 5 exons. Lineage: Eukaryota; Metazoa; Chordata; Actinopteri; Salmoniformes; Salmonidae. The record is from RefSeq and is a predicted model, not a curated record.